This is a long non-coding RNA of Zophobas morio, 665 nucleotides long. RefSeq lists it as uncharacterized. The record is from RefSeq and is a predicted model, not a curated record. NCBI's taxonomy places the organism in Eukaryota, Metazoa, Arthropoda, Insecta, Coleoptera, Tenebrionidae. The transcript has 2 exons.
UAUUAGCUUUUGCAACUAACAUUUGUUACAGUCAUAUAAUUAAAUUUACAACAUAAACUUCAAGCCAAGUUGAAAAAUGUGUACAAUAUUUAAAUACCAAAGUCAUAUUUUAGUCCAAAAAAUAAAACCGACAACAUAAUUAAAUUAACUCAUUAUCGCCUCAUAAAUUUUUUUAUUUUAAUUGGAGUUAAUGCCAAAUCUAUUUUUGUAAACCUUAUCAAACGAGACCUAGAAUUCACCACGCUGACCGUAAACGGGGAUCCACUGCUAAGCCUCACGAUAACAUCCUCACAAUCAUAUAAAAGCGUUCAUUUCCACGUUCAAAUCAUCCGUCUCUUGAACUUCUUCAAGCAACAACCACAACCACCAACCAAAAUGGCCAAACUGACUUUCGUUUUUGCUUUAGUAGCUGCCUUAUUCAUCAUUUCUGCCACAGCUCAGCAGUACGACCAGUACGAAGGAGAAGGUGUUGUCGAAGAGGUUAAACAACGCGCUGAACGUGGGUUCUUCUGCAAUCCUGGUCAGUGCUAUGGCUACUGCAGACGUAAUGGUCACAGGCGAGCCUCUUGCUCUGGAGAUGAAUGUGUUUGUCUCUAAGAAGAACCCAGAAUGAUAUAUUUACUUUGUUUUAAUAUUUAUUUGUUGAAAUAUAUUUCUACACUGAA